This 256-nucleotide ribosomal RNA is filed under the name uncultured archaeon. RNAcentral describes it as "partial 16S ribosomal RNA". It matches the Rfam family "Bacterial small subunit ribosomal RNA", at positions 521 to 776 of the family's 1533-position model. The record is from RNAcentral.
UAAUACGAAGGGGGCUAGCGUUGUUCGGAUUUACUGGGCGUAAAGCGCACGUAGGCGGAUCUUUAAGUCAGGGGUGAAAUGCCGGAGCUCAACUUCGGAACUGCCUUUGAUACUGGAGAUCUUGAGUUCGAGAGAGGUGAGUGGAACUGCGAGUGUAGAGGUGAAAUUCGUAGAUAUUCGCAAGAACACCAGUGGCGAAGGCGGCUCACUGGCUCGAUACUGACGCUGAGGUGCGAAAGCGUGGGGAGCAAACAGG